RNAcentral lists this transfer RNA (82 nucleotides) under Pimelobacter simplex. RNAcentral's name for it is "tRNA-Leu". It matches the Rfam family "tRNA". From Rfam's summary of the family: Transfer RNA (tRNA) molecules are approximately 80 nucleotides in length. Their secondary structure includes four short double-helical elements and three loops (D, anti-codon, and T loops). Lineage: Bacteria; Bacillati; Actinomycetota; Actinomycetes; Propionibacteriales; Nocardioidaceae. The record is from RNAcentral. RNAcentral also lists the same sequence under 2 other names.
GCCGGAGUGGUGGAACUGGCAGACACGCAGGUUUUAGGUACCUGUGCCUUCGGGUGUGCGGGUUCGAGUCCCGCCUUCGGCA